GAGAUGGAGCCUCGCUCUGUUGCCCAGGCUGGAGUGCAGGGGCAUGAUCUCGGCUCACUGCAACCUCCGCCUCCUGGAUUCAAGCGAUUCUCCUGCCUCAGCCUCCUGAGUAGCUGGGAUUACAGGCAUGUGCCACCAUCCCUGGCUAGUUUUUGUAUUUUUAGUAGAGACGGGGUUUCACCAUGUUGGUCAGGCUGGUUUUUUUUUUGGAGAUGGAGUUUUGCUCUUGUUGCCGCCCAGGCUGGAGUGCAAUGGCACGACUCACUGCAACCUCCGCCUCUUGAGUUCAAGUGAUUCUCUGGCCUCAGCCUCCUGAGUAGCUGGGAUUACAGGGGCAUACCACCAUGCCUGGCUAAUUUUGUAUUUUUAGUAGAGACAGGGUUUCACCAUGUUGGUCAGGCUGGUCUUGAACUCCUGACCUUAGGUGAUCCACCCACCACAGCCUCCCAAAGUGCUGGGAUUACAGGUGUGAGCCACUGUGGCCAGCUGAGAGCAUAUUUUCUAAAAACCUAACUUUCUUUAUGAAAUGGAAAUUUAAUAUAAAGCAAUUUAUUUACUUUUCAUGUAGUGGAGAUUCCAUUAAAAAAUGCCAGAAUGCUACCACCCACCACCAUCUCAAACCUGAGCACUAGUCUUGAGUAAAAUGAAUGUCACAUAGCUUUAAUUAUUUAAUUUUUUUUUUUUCUUCAGACAGAGUCUUGCUCUGUCACCCAGGCUGGAGUGCAGUGGCCCUGGGUGACAGAGGGAGACUCUGUCUCAAAAACAAACAAACAAA
Molecule: long non-coding RNA, 775 nt
Filed under: Homo sapiens (human)
Lineage: Eukaryota; Metazoa; Chordata; Mammalia; Primates; Hominidae
Description: HSALNT0052732
Source: RNAcentral